UACGUAGGGUGCGAGCGUUGUCCGGAAUUAUUGGGCGUAAAGAGCUUGUAGGUGGUUUGUCGCGUCUGCUGUGAAAAUCCGGGGCUCAACCCCGGACUUGCAGUGGGUACGGGCAGACUAGAGUGUGGUAGGGGAGACUGGAAUUCCUGGUGUAGCGGUGGAAUGCGCAGAUAUCAGGAGGAAGACCGGUGGCGAAGGCGGUCUGCUGGGCAGUUUCUGACACUGAUGCGCGACAGCGUGGGGAGCAAACAGG
RNAcentral lists this ribosomal RNA (253 nucleotides) under uncultured bacterium. Its description in RNAcentral is "partial 16S ribosomal RNA". It matches the Rfam family "Bacterial small subunit ribosomal RNA", at positions 524 to 776 of the family's 1533-position model. The record is from RNAcentral.